GCCCUGAUGGUCUAGCGGUAUGAUUCUCCCUUAGGGUUGUCUUCACGACGAUUCAAUCUGGGAGAGGUCCCAGGUUCGAUCCCUGGUUAGGGCC
Molecule: transfer RNA, 94 nt
Filed under: Colletotrichum somersetense
Lineage: Eukaryota; Fungi; Ascomycota; Sordariomycetes; Glomerellales; Glomerellaceae
Description: tRNA-Pro
Source: RNAcentral